UUAGUUGAUAAAAAACCAAAACAAAGUUGUAUUGAAAUAAUAGCAUAUUGAUUAAAGAAAAAUACAUACGUGAUUGUGGAAAUGUUUAUUGUUUUUGACGUCGUGAAUGUGAUGAUUUUUCUGUACAAUUUUGUCAUAAUGGCAUUAGUGCUGAUUCAUAUCAUGCUGGUAUGAGUGAUUUAGCAAGAACACAAGUACAAACAAGAUGGAAAUUUGAUGAUGUUAAAAUUGUAUGUGUAACAAUUGUAUUUGGUAUGGGAGCAGAUAAUUUGUUAUUCAUGCUGCAUUAUCAAAUUAAGUUACUCUGAUGUUCAUAGUCAUCGUUAAAUGACAGAAUUAAAUAGACCACCACUAUUAGUUUUACAAACACAUAUGGAUCAUUUUAUGAAAAUAAAAUAGAUUGUCGUAGAACACAACAGCUUAAGUAUUUUGAAAUUCAUAUAACUUAUGUGGCUGAAGCAAUUAUAACAGUUGUUAGAGAUUUAUAAAUGUACCAGAAAAAAAUUCUCAAGAAUGGCUUGAUACUUUCAGAUAUAAAAAACCUUCAUCACAAAGGUUAGAAAAAUAUUUAUAAACUUUGGGUAAUGUCAAGACCUAAAAAUAACAAUUUUUGUGAUGCUAAUGAUGUAAAAAUUAUUUGUUUUGAAAAACUCAGAUGAUUCCUCAGUUUCUCCUAAAAAACUUGAAUUACUUUCAAGUACAAUUUAUGUUAUUGAUGACUCAAUAGAUCAGUCAGCUGUACUUGGUGGUGAAAUAAAAGUGACAGUGAAAAAGAAAAUUUAAUAUCACCAAUGGACA
Molecule: long non-coding RNA, 798 nt
Organism: Aphidius gifuensis
Lineage: Eukaryota; Metazoa; Arthropoda; Insecta; Hymenoptera; Braconidae
Exons: 4
Source: RefSeq, a predicted model, not a curated record